Molecule: ribosomal RNA, 253 nt
Filed under: uncultured bacterium
Lineage: Bacteria
Description: partial 16S ribosomal RNA
Rfam family: Bacterial small subunit ribosomal RNA
Source: RNAcentral
GACGAACCGUGCAAACGUUGUUCGGAAUCACUGGGCUUAAAGGGCGCGUAGGCGGGCCGGCCAGUCAGGGGUGAAAGCCCACGGCUCAACCGUGGAAGUGCCUUUGAUACUGCCGGUCUUGAGGGAGGUAGGGGCGUGCGGAACUUCCGGUGGAGCGGUGAAAUGCGUAGAUAUCUGGAGGAACACCGGUGGCGAAGGCGACAUCCUGGACCGGUAUUGACGCUGAGGCGCGAAAGCCAGGGGAGCAAACAGG